This 484-nucleotide ribosomal RNA is filed under the name uncultured bacterium. RNAcentral's name for it is "partial 16S ribosomal RNA". It matches the Rfam family "Bacterial small subunit ribosomal RNA", at positions 30 to 507 of the family's 1533-position model. The record is from RNAcentral.
AUUGAACGCUGGCGGCAGGCCUAACACAUGCAAGUCGAGCGGCUGAAGGGAGCUUGCUCCUGGAUUCAGCGGCGGACGGGUGAGUAAUGCCUAGGAAUCUGCCUGGUCGUGGGGGAUAACGUCCGUAAACGGUCGCUAAUACCGCAUACGUCCUGAUGGAGAAAGUGUGGGAUCUUCGUACCUCACGCUAUCAGAUGAGCCUAGGUCGGAUUAGCUAGUUGGUGGGGUAAAGGCCUACCAAGGCGACGAUCCGUAACUGGUCUGAGAGGAUGAUCAGUCACACGGGAACUGAGAAAGGGUCCAGACUCCUAAGGGAGGCAGCAGUGGGGAAUAUUGGACAAGGGGCGAAAGCCUGAUCCAGCCAUGCCGCGUGUGGGAAGAAGGUCUUCGGAUUGUAAAGCACUUUAAGUUGGGAGGAAGGGCAGUAAGUUAAUAGCUUGAUGUUUUGACGGUACCAACAGAAUAAGCACCGGCUAACUUCGUG